Molecule: RNA transcript, 1084 nt
Organism: Olea europaea var. sylvestris
Lineage: Eukaryota; Viridiplantae; Streptophyta; Magnoliopsida; Lamiales; Oleaceae
Exons: 2
Source: RefSeq, a predicted model, not a curated record
AUCACGGACAGUCUACAGAGACUUGAGAGACAUAGAAAACUAUUCAAUCAGUGAACUCAUUCAGUAAGCUCAUUCAUGGUGGAGUGAACUACAAAAAGAUAUAUCACCUAGAGAAUACUAUUGUACUUAAUAACAUUCAAUUCCUUGAGCUUCUUUUGAGUUCUGCCCACAUAAAAAAGGGCUCAAGAAAAUAAAGAUUUCCUUUCAAACAUACAAAAUCAUCAGGACUUACUUCAAUAAACCUCCACUACUGGAACUAAAAAAUUCUCUACAACACACAAUAAAUAUAACUGCUUCAUUCGAAGUUCUUUAAAACAUCAAACUAAGUUUAAAUAAAGUCAUAUUGUUGCCCCAAUUUUAGUUAAUCCCAAUUAUCUUUCUUUAUUUACAUACAAAUUGAGAUAUCAUCUUGAAAAACAAGGAAACAAAAAAUUUACAGUCCUGUUCUGGGAAAUGAGAACCCAAAUGAAACACAGAUUGCAGAUUUUGAGUAACGCGAGCCCAAAAAAUCAUACCUGCCAAGUGCCAAUAUAAAAUAAACUGCCAAGAAUUUACAACAGGAGGAUCGGGUGAUCAAUCUGAUGGGAAGGAAUUGGGGGAAAGAACUCAAGAAGGGUUUGCUCUUCUCUGAUCUUUCUGCUGCCGGUUUGACGGAAGGAAUUGGAGAAAAGACUGAAAGUGAUUCUGGUACAUAAUAAUCCAUAUGGAUGCGGCCACCACCUGGAUCCGCCACUGGCUACAGGCACGGUGGACGAAACUAACAGAGGUAAUGUAUGAUGCAACUGGUGUAAGACUACAAGCUGGACGUCAAGCAGAGGUACAUGGUUCUUACUGCUGUGGAUUUGUACUAGUGCAAAUAGAUUGAAGUGGAAAUUGACAGAUGUACCCAUAAUUGUGUUAAGCUAUAAAUAAAUGAGUUUUGUGCUGUCUGUUUUGAGAAACAUCUAUUGAACUGGAAUAAUUUUUUCGGGUUUUAAAUCAAAUUGUAUGUGAACUUCCAUCUGAGCAUCCUCUUGCUGAGAGCAGAACAAUUCGCAAUGAGGGUUGGGGUUAGCAGCACAUGACACUAAAGCUUGGUACAAGG